UGUAAACUUAUAAGCUACAGGAAACC
RNAcentral lists this non-coding RNA (26 nucleotides) under Rattus norvegicus (Norway rat). Lineage: Eukaryota; Metazoa; Chordata; Mammalia; Rodentia; Muridae. The record is from RNAcentral.